UCCCCCAGUAACGGCGAGUGAAGAGGGAACAGCCCAAAUUUGUAAUCUGGCCCCUUUGGGGUCCGAGUUGUAAUCUCGAGAACUGUUUUCCGCGCCGGACCAUGUACAAGUCUGUUGGAAUAUAGCUUCAUAGAGGGUGAGAAUCCCGUACAUGACAUGGACUACCGGUGCUUUGCGAUACAGUCUCUAAGAGUCGAGUUGUUUGGGAAUGCAGCUCAAAUUGGGUGGUAAAUUCCAUCUAAGGCUAAAUAUUGGCGAGAGACCGAUAGCGAACAAGUACCGUGAGGGAAAGAUGAAAAGCACUUUGGAAAGAGAGUUAACAGUACGUGAAAUUGUUGAAAGGGAAACGCUUGAAGUCAGCCUUGUUCUUGGUUGUUCAGCCCUCCGUGGCGUAUUCAACUUUGAGCAGGCCAGCAUCAGUUUUGGGUGCUGGAUAAGGGCUUAGGAAAUGUGGCAGCCUUGGCUGUGUUAUAGUCCUUUGCUUGAUACAGCGCUCCGGGACUGAGGAAUGCAGCGAGCCUUUUGGCGGGUCCAUUUAUGGACCUUCUCGCUUUGGAUGCUGGCGUAAUGGCUUUAAACGACCCGUCUUGAAACACGGACCAAGGAGUGUAACAUGCUUGCGAGUAUUUGGGUGGCAAACCCGGAUGCGUAAUGAAAGUGAAUGAAGGUGGGAACCGCAAGGUGCACCAUCGACCGGUCCGGAUUUUUAAUGAUGGAUCCGAGUAAGAGCAAGCACGUUGGGACCCGAAAGAUGGUGAACUAUGCCUGAAUAGGGUGAAGCCAGAGGAAACUCUGGUGGAGG
This 802-nucleotide ribosomal RNA is filed under the name Helicobasidium longisporum I. RNAcentral describes it as "LSU rRNA". It matches the Rfam family "Eukaryotic large subunit ribosomal RNA", at positions 76 to 873 of the family's 3401-position model. Lineage: Eukaryota; Fungi; Basidiomycota; Pucciniomycetes; Helicobasidiales; Helicobasidiaceae. The record is from RNAcentral.